GGGGGCUCGGGUUAGGCUUGGGUACCGGUGUUGGUAUCGGUCUAGGAGGUGGUAGUGGUAGUGUCUCCGGUUCUGGCUCGGGCUCAGGCUCUGGUUCUGGUUCUGGGUCAGGAUCAGCAUCUGGUUCGGGUUCUGGCUCAGGAGCAGGCUCGUAUGCUGGUUCUGGUGCUGGAUCCUCUGCCGGGUCAGGAGCUGGCUCAGGUUCAGGAUCCGGUGCAGGCACGGGCUCAGGACAGGGGCAGGGCUCAGGUUCAGGA
This 257-nucleotide unclassified non-coding RNA is filed under the name Hevea brasiliensis (rubber tree). The record is from RNAcentral. Lineage: Eukaryota; Viridiplantae; Streptophyta; Magnoliopsida; Malpighiales; Euphorbiaceae.